AGAGUUUGAUCCUGGCUCAGAGCGAACGCUGGCGGCAUGCUUAACACAUGCAAGUCGCACGGGCAGGUUUAGGCCUGUCAGUGGCGGACGGGUGAGUAACGCGUAGGGAUCUAUCCCUGGGUGGGGGACAACCGUGGGAAACUACGGCUAAUACCGCAUGACACCUGAGGGUCAAAGGCGCCGGGGGAACCUGGAGGUCG
Molecule: ribosomal RNA, 200 nt
Filed under: uncultured bacterium
Lineage: Bacteria
Description: partial 16S ribosomal RNA
Rfam family: Bacterial small subunit ribosomal RNA
Source: RNAcentral